RNAcentral lists this ribosomal RNA (253 nucleotides) under uncultured bacterium. Its description in RNAcentral is "partial 16S ribosomal RNA". It matches the Rfam family "Bacterial small subunit ribosomal RNA", at positions 524 to 776 of the family's 1533-position model. The record is from RNAcentral.
CACGUAGGGUGCGAGCGUUGUCCGGAAUUAUUGGGCGUAAAGAGCUCGUAGGCGGUUUGUCGCGUCGAAUGUGAAAACCCGGGGCUCAACCCCGGGCCUGCAUUCGAUACGGGCAGACUAGAGUUCGGUAGGGGAGUCUGGAAUUCCUGGUGUAGCGGUGAAAUGCGCAGAUAUCAGGAGGAACACCGGUGGCGAAGGCGGGACUCUGGGCCGAUACUGACGCUGAGGAGCGAAAGCGUGGGGAGCAAACAGG